UGUGUCUAUUCUACUUCCUACUGUUAUUAACAUUAUUUAUUCGUGCAGCAGAGAGAUGGUAUCAAUGGAAAUGACUUUUCUCCUUCAAACUACUCCAAUUCUCAUGCUUUAGAUCAGUUGAAAGAAGAGAACUGCUGGUUGAAAGAAAGAUUAAAAAGAAGGGAACAAGAGAUUUUAGGUGAUUUGCUGAAUGAUUUACAAAA
Non-coding RNA from Camellia sinensis, 203 nucleotides. The record is from RefSeq and is a predicted model, not a curated record. NCBI's taxonomy places the organism in Eukaryota, Viridiplantae, Streptophyta, Magnoliopsida, Ericales, Theaceae.